UACGGGGGGGGCAAGCGUUGUUCGGAAUUACUGGGCGUAAAGGGCUCGUAGGUGGCCAACUAAGUCAGUGGUGAAAUCCCCGAGCUUAACUUGGGAACUGCCAUUGAUACUAUCAGUCUUGAAUACCGUGGAGGUCAGCGGAAUAUGUCAUGUAGCGGUGAAAUGCUUAGAUAUGACAUAGAACACCAAUUGCGAAGGCAGCUGGCUACUCGGAUAUUGACACUGAGGCACGAAAGCGUGGGGAUCAAACAGG
This 253-nucleotide ribosomal RNA is filed under the name uncultured bacterium. RNAcentral describes it as "partial 16S ribosomal RNA". It matches the Rfam family "Bacterial small subunit ribosomal RNA", at positions 524 to 776 of the family's 1533-position model. The record is from RNAcentral.